ACUCCUGCGGGAGGCAGCAGUGGGGAAUUUUGGACAAUGGGCGAAAGCCUGAUCCAGCAAUGCCGCGUGUGUGAAGAAGGCCUUCGGGUUGUAAAGCACUUUUGUCCGGAAAGAAAUCCUUGGCUCUAAUACAGUCGGGGGAUGACGGUACCGGAAGAAUAAGCACCGGCUAACUACGUGCCAGCAGCCGCGGUAAUACGUAGGGUGCGAGCGUUAAUCGGAAUUACUGGGCGUAAAGCGUGCGCAGGCGGUUUGCUAAGACCGAUGUGAAAUCCCCGGGCUCAACCUGGGAACUGCAUUGGUGACUGGCAGGCUAGAGUAUGGCAGAGGGGGGUAGAAUUCCACGUGUAGCAGUGAAAUGCGUAGAGAUGUGGAGGAAUACCGAUGGCGAAGGCAGCCCCCUGGGCCAAUACUGACGCUCAUGCACGAAAGCGUGGGGAGCAAACAGGAUUAGAUACCCCGGUAGUCCC
Molecule: ribosomal RNA, 470 nt
Filed under: uncultured organism
Description: partial 16S ribosomal RNA
Rfam family: Bacterial small subunit ribosomal RNA
Source: RNAcentral